UUGACCUCAAAUCAGGUAGGACCACCCGCUGAACUUAAGCAUAUCAAUAAGCGGAGGAAAAGAAACUAACAAGGAUUCCCCUAGUAACUGCGAGUGAAGAGGGAAAAGCUCAAAUUUGUAAUCUGGCGGCCUUUGGCGUUCGAGUUGUAAUCUAGAGAAGUGCUACCUGCGCUGGACCAUGUACAAGUCUCCUGGAAUGGAGCAUCAUAGAGGGUGAGAAUCCCGUCUUUGACAUGGACUGCCAGAGCUUAUAGGUGCGCUCUCAAAGAGUCGAGUUGUUUGGGAAUGCAGCUCAAAAUGGGUGGUAAAUGCCAUCUAAAGCUAAAUAUUGGCGAGAGACCGAUAGCGAACAAGUACCGUGAGGGAAAGAUGAAAAGAACUUUGGAAAGAGAGUUAAACAGUACGUGAAAUUGCUGAAAGGGAAACGCUUGAAGUCAGUCGCAUCAGUUGGAAAUCAACCUUGCUUUUGCUGGGCGUACUUUCCAUCUGAUGGGUCAGCAUCAAUUUCGAUUGCUGGAUAAAGUUCUUGGGAAUGUGGCAUCCUUGGAUGUGUUAUAGCCCUUGGACAUAUGCAGUGGUCGGGAUUGAGGAACUCAGCACGCCGCAAGGCUGAGACUUUUGUCUACAAUACGUGCUUAGGAUGCUGGCAUAAUGGCUUUAAUCGACCCGUCUUGAACACGGACCAAGGAGUCUAACAUGCUUGCGAGUGUUUGAGUGGAAAACUCAUGCGCGUAAUGAAAGUGAUAGUUGAGAUCCCUGUCAUGGGGAGCAUCGAUGCCCAGACCAGAGCUUUUGUGACGGAUCUGCGGUAGAGCAUGUAUGUUGGGACCCGAAAGAUGGUGAACUAUGCCUGAAUAGGGUGAAGCCAGAGGAAACUCUGGUGGAGGCUCGUAGCGAUUCUGACGUGCAAAUCGAUCGUCAAAUUUGG
This 928-nucleotide ribosomal RNA is filed under the name Inosperma cervicolor. Its description in RNAcentral is "eukaryotic LSU rRNA". It matches the Rfam family "Eukaryotic large subunit ribosomal RNA", at positions 1 to 914 of the family's 3401-position model. The record is from RNAcentral. Lineage: Eukaryota; Fungi; Basidiomycota; Agaricomycetes; Agaricales; Inocybaceae.